CCUUUGGAAAGCUUCCGUGCGCGCCGUCCGCGCCCUGGCACCGCCCGCGUCUGUGCUGGAGAGGCGUGGGAGCGGCGUGGGAGCGGCGUGGGCGCGCCCCUCGCGUCUUGGUGUGAAGGAACGGUGGCCCCACGGGUGAAGAGUACAGAAGAGGAAGCCGUCGUCUUGUCCUGGAGCGGCAACAUUCUCAACAGAGCUACGUUCUGGAAACGUUCUCAGUGCUGCUGAUUGCAACAUGUUCCUCACAUACCCAGCUUCAAGGAUUUGACUCACGGAAGUCCUCAGUCCUUGUCUGUCUUCAGAUUUCACACAUCAGACAUGCGACCCCCCACGUACCUGGGGCGUGAGCCUGAAGGAUUCCUAAGAGAAGAUGAAGAUAUUUCACUGUUGAGAAUACUGGAAAAUACUGGACAAACACUCAGGUUGCUGGACAUUGUCCACUGUCUUAAGAGCUGAGGACUAGGGUCGCCUGAGUGGCUCAGUCUGUUAAGUGUCCGACCAUGGCUCAGGUCAUGAUCUCACGGUUCGUGGGUUCAAGCCUCUCAUCAGGUCUGUGCUGAUGGCUCAGAGCCUGGAGCCUGCUUGGGA
This is a long non-coding RNA of Felis catus (domestic cat), 588 nucleotides long. RefSeq lists it as uncharacterized. NCBI's taxonomy places the organism in Eukaryota, Metazoa, Chordata, Mammalia, Carnivora, Felidae. The transcript has 3 exons. The record is from RefSeq and is a predicted model, not a curated record.